GCAGUGGGGAAUAUUGCACAAUGGGCGCAAGCCUGAUGCAGCCAUGCCGCGUGUAUGAAGAAGGCCUUCGGGUUGUAAAGUACUUUCAGCGGGGAGGAAGGGAGUAAAGUUAAUACCUUUGCUCAUUGACGUUACCCGCAGAAGAAGCACCGGCUAACUCCGUGCCAGCAGCCGCGGUAAUACGGAGGGUGCAAGCGUUAAUCGGAAUUACUGGGCGUAAAGCGCACGCAGGCGGUUUGUUAAGUCAGAUGUGAAAUCCCCGGGCUCAACCUGGGAACUGCAUCUGAUACUGGCAAGCUUGAGUCUCGUAGAGGGGGGUAGAAUUCCAGGUGUAGCGGUGAAAUGCGUAGAGAUCUGGAGGAAUACCGGUGGCGAAGGCGGCCCCCUGGACGAAGACUGACGCUCAGGUGCGAAAGCGUGGGGAGCAAACAGGAUUAGAUACCCCGGUAGUC
RNAcentral lists this ribosomal RNA (452 nucleotides) under Veillonella magna. RNAcentral's name for it is "bacterial SSU rRNA". It matches the Rfam family "Bacterial small subunit ribosomal RNA", at positions 351 to 795 of the family's 1533-position model. The record is from RNAcentral. Lineage: Bacteria; Bacillati; Bacillota; Negativicutes; Veillonellales; Veillonellaceae.